RNAcentral lists this long non-coding RNA (325 nucleotides) under Carica papaya (papaya). RNAcentral describes it as "long non-coding RNA (CPAP_LNC010719)". Lineage: Eukaryota; Viridiplantae; Streptophyta; Magnoliopsida; Brassicales; Caricaceae. The record is from RNAcentral.
GGCAAAUUUGGGGACCAAAUUUCUUUAUGGGGGGGAGAGUUGUAGCGCCCGGAAAGGGGCCGAAAAAAAAAAGCCACGUCGGCAGCCACGUCAGCAGGCCCGGUCAGCAGUCCCGGCCAACCGGGACCUGCCACGUGGCAAGACCACGUUGUUCUAAAAAGGGCCACGUUGGCGAUCCGUGUAGGCGCGAUCGGACGGCCCAGAUCAAGCGUGCGAUCGGACGGCCCAGAUUUAAACGCACGGACGACCCAGAUUUAAUCAAAAACGGACGGCCCAGAUUAAAACAAAAUGGACGGCUGAGAUCAAAAGGCAAAGGGUUAUAAAU